UUGGAUUAACUUGACCAGCGUGAAGGUCAUUUACCUUUCUUCCUGCGUUAUUCGCCAAAAGGCUGAAGAUAAGGGUGCCACAGUAUCCAUUUAUGGAUUUAUUAUUGGUACCAACUGCCUGACAUCGUUUCUUGUCACACUCCUUUUAUUGGAAAAACCUAAAAGUUAGUGGCGUUCGGUUCACCUUUGUUUCUGGAGUUUUCAUUGGAGGUAUUUGCUGCUUAUUAUCGGGCUUUUUAGAGUAUUUCCCUCCCGGGGGUUCAUUCGUCGUAAUAUCUAUAUUGUUCCGCGUCAUUCACGCUGCCGGAAACGCUGGAACAAUUACGGCGACGUUUACGUACACUGGUGUGGAGUUUCCCAAUUCCGUUGCCAAAAUCUUUAAUCUUACAAGAACCAUGAUGAACAUUGCCCAGCUUGCUGGUCCUAUAGUCGGCGGUGCAUUGUACGAAGUCGGUGGUGUUAAGACUCCCUUUAUCCUCAUGGGCGGAAUUCAAACUUUUAUGGCCUUUAUGGCAUUACCCUUUCUUCCCGAUUAUGACGUGUCACAGUAUGACGAGGGAUCGACUAAAACUCAAUCGCCAUUGGCUAUUUUGUGUAUUCCAUCCAUUUGGAUCCCGUUCUUCACGUUCAUCGUAUCGACAUGUCGAACGGGUUCCUCUCGAUCAACCUUGAACCGCAAGUGUUGCGUACGUUUGACUUGACACCAUUUUACGUGGGUAUCUUUUUCGAACUGAAAGACGGUGCCAACAGUAUAGCCAGCCCUAUUUGGGGAUACUUGUGCGAUCGCCGUGGACCUGUGAAGCUCUGCCUUUUUUCCAGUACCAUGAUCGGAGCCUUGUCCAUAUUUUUGCUGGGGCCUUUUCGCUUCGUUCCUAUUGAUCGAAAUCUAGCUGUUGUCGGUAUCGCAUUGGCACAAAGUGGAGUUGCGUUUGCAGGGCAACAAGUUUCGGGGGUCGUUGAUGCCAUGAGAGAAG
Daphnia carinata is the source of this 974-nucleotide long non-coding RNA. RefSeq lists it as uncharacterized. NCBI's taxonomy places the organism in Eukaryota, Metazoa, Arthropoda, Branchiopoda, Diplostraca, Daphniidae. The record is from RefSeq and is a predicted model, not a curated record. The transcript has 8 exons.